GAUGAAGAACGUAGUGAAAUGCGAUACUUGGUGUGAAUUGCAGAAUCCCGUGAACCAUCAAGUUUUUGAACGCAAGUUACGCCCGAAGCCAUUAGGCCGAGGGCACGCCUGCCUGGGUGUCACACAUUGUUGCCCCAAUGCCAAUCGCCUCACUUUGUAGGUAUUUGCUUGGGGUGAAUGUUGGCCUCCCGUGAGCUCUGUCUCACGGUUGGUUGAAAAUCGAGUGCAUGGUGUCGGGUGUACCAUGAUGGAUGGUGGUUGAGUGAUGCUCGAGGCCAAUCAUGGGUAACUCCACCAGAAUUGUGCUCGGUGACCCACAUGCGUCCCUUGGAUGCUCCCUAAGGAGACCUCAGGUCAGGCGGGGCUAUCCGCUGAGUUUAAGCAUAUCAAUAAGCGGAGGA
RNAcentral lists this unclassified non-coding RNA (401 nucleotides) under soil metagenome. Its description in RNAcentral is "partial contains 5.8S ribosomal RNA, internal transcribed spacer 2, and large subunit ribosomal RNA". The stretch from base 1 to 122 matches the Rfam family "5.8S ribosomal RNA", at positions 35 to 154 of the family's 154-position model. The record is from RNAcentral.